Molecule: ribosomal RNA, 305 nt
Filed under: uncultured bacterium
Lineage: Bacteria
Description: bacterial SSU rRNA
Rfam family: Bacterial small subunit ribosomal RNA
Source: RNAcentral
CCUACGGGGGGCAGCAGUGGGGAAUAUUGCACAAUGGGGGAAACCCUGAUGCAGCGACGCCGCGUGAGUGAAGAAGUAUUUCGGUACGUAAAGCUCUAUCAGCAGGGAAGAAAAUGACGGUACCUGACUAAGAAGCCCCGGCUAACUACGUGCCAGCAGCCGCGGUAAUACGUAGGGGGCAAGCGUUAUCCGGAUUUACUGGGUGUAAAGGGAGCGUAGACGGCAGCGCAAGUCUGGCGUGAAAUCCCAUGGCUUAACCAUGGAACUGCUUUGGACACUGUGCAGCUAGAGUGCAGGAGCGGUAA